AUUGAACGCUGGCGGCAUGCCUUACACAUGCAAGUCGAACGGCAGCACGGGAGCAAUCCUGGUGGCGAGUGGCGAACGGGUGAGUAAUAUAUCGGAACGUGCCCAGUCGUGGGGAUAACGUAGCGAAAGCUACGCUAAUACCGCAUACGAUCUAUGGAUGAAAGCGGGGGAUCGCAAGACCUCGCGCGAUUGGGAGCGGCCGAUAUCAGAUUAGGUAGUUGGUGAGGUAAAGGGCUCACCAAGCCGACGAUCUGUAGCUGGUCUGAGAGGACGACCAGCCACACUGGGACUG
Molecule: ribosomal RNA, 292 nt
Filed under: uncultured bacterium
Lineage: Bacteria
Description: partial 16S ribosomal RNA
Rfam family: Bacterial small subunit ribosomal RNA
Source: RNAcentral